CUGGCUCAGAUUGAACGCUGGCGGCAUGCUUUACACAUGCAAGUCGAACGGCAGCGCGGGGCAACCUGGCGGCGAGUGGCGAACGGGUGAGUAAUAUAUCGGAACGUACCCAAGAGUGGGGGAUAACGUAGCGAAAGUUACGCUAAUACCGCAUACGAUCUAAGGAUGAAAGUGGGGGAUCGCAAGACCUCAUGCUCCUGGAGCGGCCGAUAUCUGAUUAGCUAGUUGGUGAGGUAAAGGCUCACCAAGGCGACGAUCAGUAGCUGGUCUGAGAGGACGACCAGCCACACUGGAACUGAGACACGGUCCAGACUCCUACGGGAGGCAGCAGUGGGGAAUUUUGGACAAUGGGCGCAAGCCUGAUCCAGCAAUGCCGCGUGAGUGAAGAAGGCCUUCGGGUUGUAAAGCUCUUUUGUCAGGGAAGAAACGGUGAGAGCUAAUAUCUCUUGCUAAUGACGGUACCUGAAGAAUAAGCACCGGCUAACUACGUGCCAGCAGCCGCGGUAAU
This 508-nucleotide ribosomal RNA is filed under the name uncultured bacterium. RNAcentral's name for it is "bacterial SSU rRNA". It matches the Rfam family "Bacterial small subunit ribosomal RNA", at positions 19 to 524 of the family's 1533-position model. The record is from RNAcentral.